GAGUAGGCUUAGGUUGGGAAUCCGGUCCUAUUCCUGUUACCGUAAAUGGACCUCAUGACGGAACUGAAGCUUAGGGGAAGGUAUAUUAAUUAGUUAAUUGCCUUGGUCUGGACAAAGACCUUCUGCCCUAUUUGGUUGAUAUUUUUGGAAAUCCAGUCAGACUAGGAAUAGAGCAGCUGUAACCGUUAAUAUUGGCGCUUGUAGGAUCACAGAAGAGAGGAAGGAUCAAGAUCACAACUCUCUAUUUUAUAUAUCGACCUUUGGGCGUGCCUACAU
RNAcentral lists this signal recognition particle RNA (276 nucleotides) under archaeon. Its description in RNAcentral is "signal recognition particle sRNA". It matches the Rfam family "Archaeal signal recognition particle RNA". The record is from RNAcentral.